UGGCCCGGACCUGCCCUCAGCCCCGUGCCAGGCUGAGGUCACGAGCCCGAGUCCCAUCACCAGGCACGGGGGUGAUGAGAGAGGCGGGAAGGUCUUGAGAGGCCAGGCAGCCGCUGGUGGCUUAUCCAGAUUAGGCUUUUCACGUGAAGGGGAGACAAGAAUCUGCUUUGUUGCAACUGGGGCAUCAAGCUAGAAGCACUGUUGGUGCUCCUGGCACUCCCUGGCACUCUCCAAAGCUUAUUUGUUGCUCUUCCGAGACACGUCCAGGUGCUCUCUGUUAUGAUAACAAGUGGUGACACAGAGUUAGCUUGAAAUGGGAUAAACAAACAGACUAAAAAUAACUGGAUUUAGGGCGACUUGGCACCGAAUCCAGUGUUCAGGCUGUCACUGCUCAGCCGAGGCGUGAAGAUAGGCGCCAUCAAAGGCACCCCGACCCCCGGAGCGAGGGGGAGUUGGGCUUGGGUGUGGCUGAGUCCCACUUGGGUCCCCGCUUCCACCACCAUGGAGCGGUGGGCCGCUGAGGGUGGAGGUGCCAGAUGGUGCCUGAGGCCCAGGGGAGGGGCAUGGUGGGCCCGGAUGUGAGCGAGGCGGUUUAUGUCUGUUUGCAGGAAGCCGGGCCAAUGUUUGGACAUCUUUAUGGUUUGGGGAGUUUUUUGGCCUCGCCCAGAGGAGCCAUGGUUGCAUCAGAACUGGAGGUCCUCUCCUUGGUGGCCCACGCACUGGGAGAGAGACGCAAAGGGGGCAAGGCCUGGGUCUGAGGAAGAGGGGGGAGUCAAGGCAGACAUCACUCAAGAGCACCGAGAACAUGGUCCUUCUCAGCAGAGUGCUCUCGACAGCCAGCCAGUACUAAUCUAUCCAGGUUUGCCAUGCUGGCGAAGCUGUUGCGUGGAAAACAAAUCCUCGAGGUGCAUCUGAGAGAAUCAAGGCCCAAGAAGGUGGACUUGCCCAAGACGUGGCAGGUAAGUGCAUCUGUGAACCUACAGCCAGCUUUGGGGAGGUGUUGGGGGUGCCUUCUCAUGUUUGGAACAUACUGAAGAAGCCCCA
This 1044-nucleotide long non-coding RNA is filed under the name Sus scrofa (pig). Its description in RNAcentral is "lncRNA (ENSSSCG00030004895.1)". The record is from RNAcentral. Lineage: Eukaryota; Metazoa; Chordata; Mammalia; Artiodactyla; Suidae.